This 260-nucleotide long non-coding RNA is filed under the name Mytilus galloprovincialis (Mediterranean mussel). Lineage: Eukaryota; Metazoa; Mollusca; Bivalvia; Mytilida; Mytilidae. The record is from RNAcentral.
AAAAAAACUUAGAUAGCAAAUGAGUAUUUGACAGAUUACAAAUUCAAAGCUUGAGAAACAUAUGACAAUAAAAUUUAAAUGGGAAAGAUUUAUCUUUUGUGUUUUUUUAUUUAACCUUGAAAUGGACAUUUAUAAAAGCAGACACACCAUAGUUUAAUGCUGUAAUAGAAGAGUCUGCUGGAAAAGAAGAUAAUUUUGAAUUUUAUACUUUGACUUUAUAUCUAAAUGGGUUUUACCAAAUAAAUUUUUUUGAAUAUUAU